AUGGAUCUGCCGGAAGAGGACGGAUCUAUGGUGUUUGAACAUGUCCGACACCAUUGAUACGACAUCGUUCUUCAUCUUCUCCGUCGAACGAGGAGCGGCGCUUGCGGCGGAUCGUGGUCGGAAAUCAUGUGGAUUUGCGAAUGGUGGAUCGGCGGCGGCGACGGCUUUCCCUUCUCUAACUACGGUUUCAGAUCUUGCGGCGGCGCCGUAGGAGGAGAAGGAUUGAGAAAAGAUGGUGGAGCAGGGUUAGACGUAUGGAAACGGCGCUUGGAGGUGGAGAGGCUGUGGGUGGGUGGGUGGAGAGAAGGUUAGGGUUUCGGUGGAGAAGAGAGAAUCAAAUGACAGAGAUCGUGAAUUCAUUGGCCUUAUUUCCCAAAACUAUCUAGUAAGGGUAAAACGGUCAUAUCACUUGGGCUUCAGGGGGGUCUCACAAAAUAAGUUUAGAAUUUGGGUUUUUGGCUAGAGCAGAAAAAAUCAUAGGACUUAUCCUUAUAUAUUUUCAAAAUUAGGGGGUUAUCU
RNAcentral lists this long non-coding RNA (519 nucleotides) under Erythranthe guttata (spotted monkey flower). RNAcentral describes it as "long non-coding RNA (EGUT_LNC002965)". The record is from RNAcentral. Lineage: Eukaryota; Viridiplantae; Streptophyta; Magnoliopsida; Lamiales; Phrymaceae.